This 512-nucleotide ribosomal RNA is filed under the name uncultured bacterium. RNAcentral's name for it is "partial 16S ribosomal RNA". It matches the Rfam family "Bacterial small subunit ribosomal RNA", at positions 28 to 507 of the family's 1533-position model. The record is from RNAcentral.
GACGAACGCUGGCGGCGUGCCUAAUACAUGCAAGUCGAGCGAGCGAAACUAACAGAUUUACUUCGGUAAUGACGUUAGGAAAGCGAGCGGCGGAUGGGUGAGUAACACGUGGGGAACCCGCCCCAUAGUCUGGGAUACCACUUGGAAACAGGUGCUAAUACCGGAUAAGAAAGCAGAUCGCAUGAUCAGCUUUUAAAAGGCGGCGUAAGCUGUCGCUAUGGGAUGGCCCCGCGGUGCAUUAGCUAGUUGGUAAGGUAAAGGCUUACCAAGGCGAUGAUGCAUAGCCGAGUUGAGAGACUGAUCGGCCACAUUGGGACUGAGACACGGCCCAAACUCCUACGGGAGGCAGCAGUAGGGAAUCUUCCACAAUGGACGCAAGUCUGAUGGAGCAACGCCGCGUGAGUGAAGAAGGUUUUCGGAUCGUAAAGCUCUGUUGUUGGUGAAGAAGGAUAGAGGUAGUAACUGGCCUUUAUUUGACGGUAAUCAACCAGAAAGUCACGGCUAACUACGUG